Molecule: non-coding RNA, 24 nt
Filed under: Arabidopsis thaliana (thale cress)
Lineage: Eukaryota; Viridiplantae; Streptophyta; Magnoliopsida; Brassicales; Brassicaceae
Source: RNAcentral
AGGGGCUCAGCUGAAUCUAGUUUU